RNAcentral lists this long non-coding RNA (178 nucleotides) under Fukomys damarensis (Damara mole-rat). Its description in RNAcentral is "lncRNA (ENSFDAG00000023644.1)". Lineage: Eukaryota; Metazoa; Chordata; Mammalia; Rodentia; Bathyergidae. The record is from RNAcentral.
AACUCACAGCAAAAUACAAAACCGAUAAUAUUUUUCUGUCUCAACCUCCACCUUAGUUCUGUUCCCCUGAGCAAUGCUUUAAAAGGUGGGGUGAGGAGGAUUGUUCUUUCUGAUGAAAUAUGCUGCACUGAACAAAUCCAAGAAAUUUUGGAGAAGAUUAUAUACUCCUGACAGCCCA